Molecule: ribosomal RNA, 500 nt
Filed under: uncultured Eubacteriales bacterium
Lineage: Bacteria; Bacillati; Bacillota; Clostridia; Eubacteriales
Description: bacterial SSU rRNA
Rfam family: Bacterial small subunit ribosomal RNA
Source: RNAcentral
AGAGUUUGAUCCUGGCUCAGGAUGAACGCUGGCGGUGCGCCUAACACAUGCAAGUCGAACGAAGGAUUGUGAAGGAACUUUACGGAGGGAAAACACAAUGACUGAGUGGCGGACGGGUGAGUAACGCGUAGGGAACCUGGCCCUUACAGGGGGAUAACAGAUGGAAACAACUGCUAAUACCGCAUAAGCGCCCAGCCUCGCAUGAGGCAGAGUGAAAAACUAAGGUGGUAAGGGAUGGCCCUGCGUCCGAUUAGCUAGUUGGUAUGGUAACGGCAUACCAAGGCGACGAUCGGUAGCCGGCCUGAGAGGGUGGACGGCCACAUUGGGACUGAGACACGGCCCAAACUCCUACGGGAGGCAGCAGUGGGGGAUAUUGCACAAUGGGGGAAACCCUGAUGCAGCGACACCGCGUGGGUGAAGAAGCGCUUCGGCGUGUAAAGCCCUAUCAGUGGGGAAGAAAAAGGACGGUACCCAAAGAAGAAGCACCGGCUAAAUACGUG